GACGAACGCUGGCGGCGUGCUUAACACAUGCAAGUCGAACGAAGAGCGACGGAAUCUUGCUUCUAUCAAUCUUAGUGGCGAACGGGUGAGUAACGCGUAAUCAACCUGCCCUUCAGAGGGGGACAAAAGUUGGAAACGACUGCUAAUACCGCAUACGAUCUAAUCUCGGCAUCGAGGAUGGAUGAAAGGUGGCCUCUACAUGUAAGCUAUCACUGAAGGAGGGGAUUGGGUCUGUUUAGCUAGUUGGAGGGGUAACGCCCCACCAAGGCGAGGAUCAGUAGCCGGUCUGAGAGGAUGAACGGCCACAUUGGGACUGAGACACGGCCCAGACUCCUACGGGAGGCAGCAGUGGGGAAUCUUCCGCAAUGGGCGAAAGUCUGACGGAGCAACGCCGCGUGAGUGAUGACGGCCUUCGGGUUGUAAAGCUCUGUUAAUCGGGACGAAAGGCCUUCUUGCGAAUAGUGAGAAGGAUUGACGGUACCGGAAUAGAAAGCCACGGCUAACUACGUG
This 510-nucleotide ribosomal RNA is filed under the name uncultured bacterium. Its description in RNAcentral is "partial 16S ribosomal RNA". It matches the Rfam family "Bacterial small subunit ribosomal RNA", at positions 28 to 507 of the family's 1533-position model. The record is from RNAcentral.